AAAUUUGAUAAUUUUUGUGAGUAUUUUUGCUUUUGUUGAUCAAGUAAGUUUGAUAGUAAAAGUAAGGUAAUUAAUUGUUGCUGAAAUUUGAUCUCAACAAUGGUCUCCUGAAUACUUGAUUCUAGUUUUUUCUAUACAACAAAAACUCUAAUGGGAGAGGAAAUCAAAUCUCCAUGUGCUGCAGUGGAUGAGACAGCUCAGAGGUCUCGGGCUCAAGCCCUGCAUAUGGAAAAGUACGAGUUUGCUGUACCGGACACGGGAUGGAAAAACCAAAAAAAAUAAUCUCGGAUAAUUAAGUUUUAGCUAAUUCUAUGCUUUGGUCGAACUGAUAUUUUGCAUCCAAAUCAAUCAGAAUUAAGUUCACCAAUUUCUUCCUAUUAGUCUCUGCUGUUUCUCUGUCAUCUUGUUUGUUUUGGUUAUGUGAAGCGCCUCCUAUAUGUUAUGUGGUUAUGUGAAGCGCCUCCUAUAUGUUAUGUGGUUUUGUGAAGCGCCUCCUAUAUGUUAUGUAGUUAUGCUCAUCUGGAUACAACUCAGUUGCCAUUCCCUUGUUUGUGGAUAAUACAUUAGAGACAUCAAGCAAUCAUGUAGUGAAAAAUCUAGUUCAUGUUCCUUGAUUGUUCAAUUCUAGGAGGAUGUUUAAACAGUAAGAAAACAGUACUGAUACUAUCUACCGCAAUAUAAGUAUUCAUUGAUAUCUAUAAAAUUCUGUUUUUAGAUGAGUGUUAUCUUGUAAACUGCAACAACAGAGGACAAACAUUGAUGUUUUAAUUAUGAUCAAUUGUCUUAAGACAAAGAAUACACAAGUAUGAUUAAUGUGCAGAAGUGUAAAAUGUUAUGUCACAUUACAAAAAUAACUUACAACUACACUACUACACUCGUACAAUGACAUUUACGGAGUAUAUAGAAUCAGUUAGGAAGUGUGUAUAUAUAUAUAUUCAGAAAGAGUAGUGCUUGAAAUCCUGCACCUACUGCUUCAGUUAUGUAACUCAAUUUAUCUAUUAAUAUAUUUACAGAUUCUUUCUGUCAAAGCACAUAGUUAUCAUCUGGAAAUAAUUGGCGGUGUGGAUGUUGGAUCCUGAAGGGAGAUUACAGUUUCAAAAGCACCCACCAAAGCCUGGACCUUGCUUCUCCUGGUCUCCUCAAGCUUGGUUGCAGUCUCUUCGAUCACAUUGUUGAACAAGAUUGGAGCCUCUUUUUUGUCUCGUCUAGAUUGGUGUCGAAGAUUAACUCUCAUAGUUUCAUCUUUAGCAGCAUUUGACUUUCCAUAAGCAAUAAAUCUCCUAGAGCUUCUUCCUCUAACAAGAUCACUUCCAUUCCCGUUGUUCUCUAGUAUUUUGGGUGGCCUGAAUUUUAGUCUCCUUGGGCUGAGUUUCUCAGACUGAUAAUCAAUUAUUUUUCCUCUCCUGAACUUGAGAUUUUUAGGACUGCAAAUUGCAGCCCUUCCAGCUUUUAUAUCUUGGUUUGGGCUUGUGGUUCCACUUUUCUUGGAACUGCUGAAUAUUGCAUCACCAUUAACAGACUCGCAUGCGGAAGUUGAUGAUAGGGAGGAUUUCCUGUUGCCAUGUUUUCUGGAGCUACUGCCAUCAGAAUGUAGAGAAGAUGAUGGGGAAAUAUGGGGUGACGGUUUCUUUCCUCUUAUUGGGCCAUGCCUAUCUAAAGGCGAGACUCUGGCCUUCCGAUUUUCCAGAGAGAUCUGUAUGGUCUGGAUUUUUGUCUUUGAUUCUCUGAUAUACAAUGUCCCCUUUGGAACACUCCUGUUACUUCCUAGCUCCAUCUUGCCUCGUUUAAGACUAGCCGAUUUUCUAAGUUGAGAUGCUUUGUUUGGAAAACUUUGAUGACUUGGUUGCACUUUCUUCGUUCGUGCAAGGCUAGUCAAAUUAUUCAUAUGAGAUACCUUGUUUGGAUCAUCUUUACGAAUCACUUUGCCUGUUUUACCAGGAAGACUAAUCUGCUUAUUGCGUUGAGAUACCAUUCCGGGGGAAUUGUUAUUUAACUUUUUGCCUGAUACCCUCUUCACAGAAAUUCUUGUAGAGUGGGAAAUAGUUAUGGCAUCCUUCUUCUUGCUCAACCCGGAGGAUCCUUUUUCGACUGCUAUUUUGGUGGAUGCUGGGAUUUUCUUUCCCUGGGUUCGAAAAGUUGUCUGGCUCUUGAAAUUUGGGAGCUUGGUUGAGCUUAAUGGUUUCUUCCCUAUCUGCAACUUCACAGUUCUAGCCAUUUCUGGGAUUUCUCCUGAUGCUGCUACAGGUCUUGUGCGCUGGAGAGUCCUCACCUUCUUUUUAAGAUCACUUGCAACUGUGUAUUUGCGAACUUCUUGGCGAGAACCUGUUGGAACACUCGGAGAACAUGACAAGACCUUGGAUUCACCUAUUUCAAUACCUGAGCUUCCAGUUGAGUUCCUUCUCAAAUAGCCGACUCCGGACUCAAUUUUGUCCAGGUUCACUGGCAUGCCAACAUCGUUUUUCUUGCUCAACUCAUAAGAUGCAGUGUCUUUAUCCAUCCUGCUUCCUGUGUUUGUUUUGGUGGUUGCAUCAUCCAAUAUAGACCCCUUAAGUGUGAGCGAAACCCCUGUCAUAAGACUGUCACUGUAUCUUCUUCUGCUUAGUUUGUUGCUUCUUGACACAGAAUAAUCAUUUUCUCCAAGAGGCUUCAGCUUCAAAUCACUUCGAUGCCUUGCAGAAACGGCUAAUUUUUUGGUGCAUGCUUGUAUUUCCUUUCCAUGGGAAGUUUUCAGCCUUCUGAUAUUUGCAGGUAGUUUAGUUGAGUGUAGUGGUUUCUUCCGUAUCUGCCACUUCACAGUUGUAGCCAAUUUUGAAUUUUCUCCUGAUGAAGUUACAGAUGUUUUGGACAUGUGAGUCCUCGCCUUUGUUUUACAGUUGAGUUCCGCACCAUCUUUGUUAGCGUCAGAAGAACCUGUUGGAACACUCACAUGACGUGGCAAGACCUUGGAGUCACCCAUUUCAAUACCUAAAUUGCCAGUUGAGUUCCUUCUCAAAUAACUGAGUUCAUGCUCAAUUUUCUCCAAGUUUGCAGGUUUUCCGACAACCUUCUUGUUGCCCAACUUAGAAGACCCAGUGUUCUUGUCCAUCCUGCUUCCUUUGUUUGGUGUGCCGGUUGCACCAUCCAACGGAGAAUUCUGAGCAAUUGAUGAUCCCCCUGGUAUGAUAGUGUCGCUGUAUCCUCUUAUCCUCAGCUUAUAGAUUCCGGACAUAGAAUUAGCAUUUUCCUGCAACGACUUCAUCUUCAAACCGUUCCGUUGUUUUACAGAAACAGCUAAUCUUUUGGCGUAUGCUGGGAUCUCCUGUCUCUGGGAUUUACCAGUUGUACGCCUCUUGAAAUUCACAGGUAGCUUACUCGAGCGUAGUGGUUUCUUCCUUAUCUGCACCUGUACAGUUGUAGUCAAUUCUGGUAUUUUUUCUGAUGCUACUACUGUUCUACUCAGCAGGGAAGUCCUUGCUAUUGUUGUUUGAUCAUCACGUUCAGCACCUUUGCAAGCGUCAUGGCAAGAACCUUUUGGAUCGCUCAGGUAACGUGACAAGACCUUGGAUUUAGCAAUUUGAAAGCCAAAGCUGCCAGUUGAGUUCCUUCUCAAAAAGCGAGCAUCACGCUCAAUUCUCUCCAGAUGUGCAGGUAUGCCAACAACCAUCUCAGCCAUUUUGAGUUUGAGCAAUGAAACUAGUACCACUGCAGAACUUAUCAGAAGCAGAGACCCUUUGAAACCUCGACCUCACAAAUGCAGCAUCCUAGUGUGGAAAAAAUAACAAGGACCUGUGAGAGAAUUGAUACUGAUAAAAAAAGCAA
This 3798-nucleotide long non-coding RNA is filed under the name Solanum tuberosum (potato). Its description in RNAcentral is "long non-coding RNA (STUB_LNC004156)". The record is from RNAcentral. Lineage: Eukaryota; Viridiplantae; Streptophyta; Magnoliopsida; Solanales; Solanaceae.